UACACCGAAGGAAGGACUUCUCAACAGAUCUCCUGUGGAAAGAGAGCAGAGAAUCAACGAGGGGCCCAGCGCUACUCGAAGCGGUCGCACCUAUUGCUGAUGGAAGAUCUGGCGGAGCCUGGCGAUCAGGUGGGCAGCUACCUCUUGAAGGAGAUGACAGCUCGUUCUGCCUCGAGUGAAGUGCUGCUGGCCUUUAUAUACCCUUCGCUGACUGCCGCCCCUCAAGCGUCGUGCGGUCGCCCUGGCAGGGAGAAGUGGAGGGUGGACUCCUGCUGCAGUGGCGACCUUCUCCUUCAUCAGGUCUGGAAGGUCUGGAAGUUCUGCGUCUUGGUCAUCCCUAGGUCUCCUCGUUGUUACCGGCAGCUCGUCGGGAAUUAUUUAAAUUAACAAAAUUUGUUAAUCGGACUCGCCCCGGACCAAUAUGAUGCUUGCGGGUCAGGGGCUCCUGGACGGCAGGUCUCCAACUCCACCUGCUCGAAGGCC
Molecule: long non-coding RNA, 483 nt
Organism: Cloeon dipterum
Lineage: Eukaryota; Metazoa; Arthropoda; Insecta; Ephemeroptera; Baetidae
Exons: 3
Source: RefSeq, a predicted model, not a curated record